AGUGAACGCUGGCGGUAGGCCUAACACAUGCAAGUCGAACGGCAGCACAGUAAGAGCUUGCUCUUACGGGUGGCGAGUGGCGGACGGGUGAGGAAUACAUCGGAAUCUACUUUUUCGUGGGGGAUAACGUAUGGAAACUUACGCUAAUACCGCAUACUACCUACGGGUGAAAGCAGGGGAUCUUCGGACCUUGCGCGAUUGAAUGAGCCGAUGUCGGAUUAGCUAGUUGGCGGGGUAAAGGCCCACCAAGGCGACGAUCCGUAGCUGGUCUGAGAGGAUGAUAAGCCACACUGGAACUGGGACACGGUCCAGACUCCUACGGGAGGCACCAGUGGGGAAUAUUGGACAAUGGGCGCAAGCCUGAUCCAGCCAUACCGCGUGGGUGAAGAAGGCCUUCGGGUUGUAAAGACCUUUUGUUGGGAAAGAAAAGCAGCAGGUUAAUACCCCGCUGUUCUGACGGUACCCAAAGAAUAAGCACCGGCUAACUUCGUG
This 492-nucleotide ribosomal RNA is filed under the name uncultured bacterium. RNAcentral's name for it is "partial 16S ribosomal RNA". It matches the Rfam family "Bacterial small subunit ribosomal RNA", at positions 29 to 507 of the family's 1533-position model. The record is from RNAcentral.